UACAGCCGUGGUCAUAUUUAUUAAAAACAAUGGGAGACUCAGCGGAACUUUACAAUUAUUCAAGAACCGACACAUUUGUAUUAUUUUGUAGUCGUACAACCAUAAUUUCAUUGUAACGUGUUUCAAAGUUUUAUUCCAUGUUUUUCAUCAGACAGUUCAUUAAAUCCCAGGGAGACAGUAGACAGCCUGGAGAUGACAUGAACCUGAGGUUCUGUGAACCUUAGCCUAAGAUGCUCACAGCUUCCAUGUUCACAAGUUGCAGACCAUGAAGGUGUGAUGGUGUGACGGCAUGACUACACCAUGUACUUGGUGAAAUCGGCAAUGCUGCUAAGUGUCUCUCUGAGAAAGUUGGAGUCGUCUUUUGUGCGUCUGAACUCGACCGGAACCUGCUUCAUCCACAGCUGCUUUCCUGCUUUGUAAGGACGAACAGGCUACGCAAAUCCACCAUCAUUCAGACGCUGAUCUUUUAUCCCCUGCUGCCAAUUCCCAGAUUUCUCCGCUCUUCGGUUAGGUGUUGAUUAUUCUAGAACAUGCCAGAUUGCCUACUCCUACGUGAUUCUGACAGUGCUAUGUAAACUCGUGUUUGUAAAUACUAAAAGCCAUUUAUUCUGUACAUGAAGAAUACAUAUCUCGAAGAAAUAUUGCUAUUGAUUUCUAUUUAUACUCGAUUUGUAUUAAACGUAUUUGGAACGUUAAACAAGAUACUUUGUAGACCCACCAGAGUGAAACUGCCUGUUUAACCCUUCAAUAAACACCUUCGGACUCA
Electrophorus electricus (electric eel) is the source of this 766-nucleotide non-coding RNA. The record is from RefSeq and is a predicted model, not a curated record. Lineage: Eukaryota; Metazoa; Chordata; Actinopteri; Gymnotiformes; Gymnotidae.